UACAGAGGUCUCAAGCGUUGUUCGGAUUCAUUGGGCGUAAAGGGUGCGUAGGCGGCGCGGUAAGUCGGGUGUGAAAUCUCGGGGCUUAACUCCGAAACUGCAUUCGAUACUGCCGUGCUUGAGGACUGGAGAGGAGACUGGAAUUUACGGUGUAGCGGUGAAAUGCGUAGAUAUCGUAAGGAAGACCAGUGGCGAAGGCGGCUCUCUGGGACGGUACUGACGCUGAGACGCGAAAGCGUGGGGAGCGAACAGG
This 253-nucleotide ribosomal RNA is filed under the name uncultured bacterium. RNAcentral's name for it is "partial 16S ribosomal RNA". It matches the Rfam family "Bacterial small subunit ribosomal RNA", at positions 524 to 776 of the family's 1533-position model. The record is from RNAcentral.